CCAUCAACGCAUUUGCCCAUGUACUGCGCUGAGUGCCAGUGCGACGCGCCACUCCCCGCAACGGAGAUCUUCUUCAAACACCACAAUCGCCCGACACAAGAGCUUGCUGAGUCUUCCCAUAUUUACACGAGGGCUUCUAUGUGGACCGCUCUUCAGAGAUGGUGCCUGACAGUGUUAAAUAGCUCCGCUAAUAAAGGGUACGUCAGCCAUA
Rhipicephalus microplus (southern cattle tick) is the source of this 211-nucleotide long non-coding RNA. Lineage: Eukaryota; Metazoa; Arthropoda; Arachnida; Ixodida; Ixodidae. The record is from RefSeq and is a predicted model, not a curated record.